Molecule: small nucleolar RNA, 224 nt
Filed under: Pelobates cultripes (western spadefoot toad)
Lineage: Eukaryota; Metazoa; Chordata; Amphibia; Anura; Pelobatidae
Rfam family: Small nucleolar RNA SNORA73 family
About the family: U17 (SNORA73A and SNORA73B) also known as E1 belongs to the H/ACA class of small nucleolar RNAs (snoRNAs). Vertebrate U17 is intron-encoded and ranges in length from 200-230 nucleotides, longer than most snoRNAs. It is one of the most abundant snoRNAs in human cells and is essential for the cleavage of pre-rRNA within the 5' external transcribed spacer (ETS).
Source: RNAcentral
ACAACGUGGGUAUCUCAUGAGGUUGCUCUCAUGAGCUCUAUCCUGGUGGCGUAUGGGAGCGUAGCAUCUUAGGGUGCAGUAACGUAUAUUCCCCUUCCACAACGUUGGAGAACAUGCAUGUCCCCGGGCCCUAUGGACUGGUGCGGACAGCGUCCUGUAUAUUCCUACAACUUCCUAGAGCCUUCGGGCAGUGACUGGGGAGACAAACCAUGCAGGAUACAUCU